AGCUACAGUCUAAAGAAGUAGAGCUUCUGC
Molecule: non-coding RNA, 30 nt
Filed under: Cricetulus griseus (Chinese hamster)
Lineage: Eukaryota; Metazoa; Chordata; Mammalia; Rodentia; Cricetidae
Source: RNAcentral